GUGGGGAAUAUUGGACAAUGGGCGAAAGCCUGAUCCAGCCAUGCCGCGUGAGUGAAGAAGGCCUUAGGGUUGUAAAGCUCUUUCACCCGCGAAGAUGAUGACGGUAGCGGGAGAAGAAGCCCCGGCUAACUCCGUGCCAGCAGCCGCGGUAAUACGGAGGGGGCAAGCGUUGUUCGGAUUUACUGGGCGUAAAGGGCGCGUAGGCGGAACGUCAUGUCAGGGGUGAAAGGCCUGGGCUCAACCUGGGAACUGCCCUUGAAACUGGCGAUCUGGAGUCCGGGAGAGGAUGGCGGAAUUCCCAGUGUAGAGGUGAAAUUCGUAGAUAUUGGGAAGAACACCGGUGGCGAAGGCGGCCAUCUGGACCGGUACUGACGCUGAGGCGCGAAAGCGUGGGGAGCAAACAGG
RNAcentral lists this ribosomal RNA (405 nucleotides) under uncultured bacterium. RNAcentral describes it as "bacterial SSU rRNA". It matches the Rfam family "Bacterial small subunit ribosomal RNA", at positions 354 to 776 of the family's 1533-position model. The record is from RNAcentral.